Cherax quadricarinatus is the source of this 413-nucleotide non-coding RNA. The record is from RefSeq and is a predicted model, not a curated record. Lineage: Eukaryota; Metazoa; Arthropoda; Malacostraca; Decapoda; Parastacidae.
AGUGAUGGUGACACAGUAGUGAUGGUACAGUGAACUAGAGUGUCAACACAACACCACAGUAGUGAUGGUACAGUGAACUAGAGUGUCAACACAACACCACAGAAGUGAUGGUGACACAGUAGUGAUGGUACAGUGAACUAGUGUCAACACAACACCACAGUAGUGAUGGUGACAAAGUAGUGAUGGUACAGUGAACUAGUGUCAACACAACACCACAGUAGUGAUGGUGACACAGUAGUGAUGGUACAGUGAACUAGAGUGUCAACACAACACCACAGUAGUGAUGGUGACACAGUAGUGAUGGUACAGUGAACUAGAGUGUCAACACAACACCACAGUAGUGAUGGUGACACAGUAGUGAUGGUACAGUGAACUAGAGUGUCAACACAACACCACAGUAGUGAUGACACAGU